Long non-coding RNA from Capsicum annuum, 916 nucleotides. RefSeq lists it as uncharacterized. NCBI's taxonomy places the organism in Eukaryota, Viridiplantae, Streptophyta, Magnoliopsida, Solanales, Solanaceae. The record is from RefSeq and is a predicted model, not a curated record. The transcript is spliced from 2 exons.
AAAGAUCGGAUGGAUUAAAAGUGGAAAGGAAUUCCAAAAGCAGUGCAUUAAAUGCCUUUCACUUGUCCCUUGCUCAUUCUGAAAAAGAAGAAAACAAUUCACGCAUUUUGCUCCUUCCAAAGAGCAACCAUCGUUUUUCCCUUUCAGCUCACAACGAUGACCCUCUCUCUCCACUCUUCACCGUCCUAUCUCCAUCACCCCCAAAAUAUAAACCCUAAUCGCUAGCCUGCAAAAUCCCUUCUGAAUCUGCCUCCUUCAGCCCAUCAAUCUGAUAAAACAGAGAAAAAAUAGUGCAAUAUAUUCAAGUUUCAAACCUGCCAUUAAUGGCCUGAAAAAGUUGAGAUUUGAAGGGAUUUUGUCUCAGAAUUUCAAAUUUUCUACCUUUUCCUUCUAUAUUUUUAUUUUUCAAGUUUCAAAUCCGGACUUCGAAGUCCGGAUUUACAUCUAUAAAAUGGAGGCUUCUCCAUCUCUGAAGGGAAGGCUGCAAAUUCGAAAGAAAAGGCAAAAAUAAUUCGUGAGAGCAAAAUUCGUAAGAAGAAGCAAAAAAAAAAAAAAAAAAGGCAAAAAUUUUUUAAAAAAAAAAAAAAAGGGAAAACGAGUGCAAGUCAGAAGCAACAGUUUGAGUUCCCGAGGUCGUUGCCGGAAAACACUUUGACAUCGAAGCCCCGAUUCGCUGCGUCAACAAAGGAGUUGAGAGUUCUGGGACGGAACUUGUUUUGACCCAAACAGCGGGUCAACCGUCACUAGGAUCGCGGAGCUUUGGAGUUGCAAAAUUUAAAAGCCCAAACUCCUAAAUGGAGUCUAGUAUUUCUCAUCUUUUGGUUCAAUUUAUGUUGAGUGUUUUAUAUUGACUAACUCUUAUUUUUUAACUUGUUCAGAGUAACUUUAUUAGACUGCUGAAUUUUUUAUUAUUUUA